Molecule: ribosomal RNA, 548 nt
Filed under: uncultured bacterium
Lineage: Bacteria
Description: bacterial SSU rRNA
Rfam family: Bacterial small subunit ribosomal RNA
Source: RNAcentral
UAGGGAAUCUUCCGCAAUGGGCGAAAGCCUGACGGAGCAACGCCGCGUGAGUGAAGAAGGAUUUCGGUUCGUAAAGCUCUGUUGUUAGGGAAGAAUGAUUGUGUAGUAACUAUACACAGUAGAGACGGUACCUAACCAGAAAGCCACGGCUAACUACGUGCCAGCAGCCGCGGUAAUACGUAGGUGGUAAGCGUUGUCCGGAAUUAUUGGGCGUAAAGCGCGCGCAGGUGGUUUAAUAAGUCUGAUGUGAAAGCCCACGGCUCAACCGUGGAGGGUCAUUGGAAACUGUUAAACUUGAGUGCAGGAGAGAAAAGUGGAAUUCCUAGUGUAGCGGUGAAAUGCGUAGAGAUUAGGAGGAACACCAGUGGCGAAGGCGGCUUUUUGGCCUGUAACUGACACUGAGGCGCGAAAGCGUGGGGAGCAAACAGGAUUAGAUACCCUGGUAGUCCACGCCGUAAACGAUGAGUGCUAAGUGUUGGUCUCAUAAGAGAUCAGUGCUGCAGCUAACGCAUUAAGCACUCCGCCUGGGGAGUACGACCGCAAGGUUG